AUUCAACUGAUGAGUCUUAAAUAGGACGAAACGCGCAUCUUAGAU
This 45-nucleotide non-coding RNA is filed under the name Schistosoma haematobium. The record is from RNAcentral. Lineage: Eukaryota; Metazoa; Platyhelminthes; Trematoda; Strigeidida; Schistosomatidae.